ACAACAGAAAGAACAAUCAAAUCUCAGUCUGUUAGAUCACUAUGAAUGCAUAAUAACCAGAACACAUCUUUCUCCUCAUCAGCUUUUGCUUUUCCACUGCAGCAAGAAAAAUCUGAGAACUGAAAUGUGAAGAGAGAGACAACAGAUGAAGGAAACCUAAGAGGUAGCAAAAUGCCAAGGGAGUGAUACAAACAACAUCCUUUCAAAAGGGGCACCAACGUCAUCUGCAGGCUGACAGAGGAAUUAAGGAGGAGCAGGGGUGCUCUGCAUACUGGAAGGGAUCCAGCAAAUCAAAGUCUGGAGCAAAGCUCAGACAGAAGAAAAUCCAGGUUGGAGAGCCAGAGGGAGAAACAGAUGACAGCUUGAACAGGUGGCAAAACAAAACAGAGAGACAGACAUGGCUACAAACUCAGGUACUUCAGUCAUGCACUGGUUGCCUGUCUUUCACAUGUGAAAACUGCUAAGCCUCAUGAGUGACAUCUGCAUCUCUGUAAAGGCCUCCAGAGAUGCAGAAUUACAUUGUGCUGCCUGACUCAAAAAGGUUUACAGCAGA
This is a long non-coding RNA of Corvus hawaiiensis (hawaiian crow), 553 nucleotides long. RefSeq lists it as uncharacterized. The record is from RefSeq and is a predicted model, not a curated record. Lineage: Eukaryota; Metazoa; Chordata; Aves; Passeriformes; Corvidae. The transcript is spliced from 3 exons.